AUUGAACGCUGGCGGCAUGCUUUACACAUGCAAGUCGAACGGUAACAGGCCGCAAGGUGCUGACGAGUGGCGAACGGGUGAGCAAUGCAUCGGAACGUGCCCAGUCGUGGGGGAUAACUAUUCGAAAGAGUAGCUAAUAUCGCACACGAGCUAUGGAUGAAAGCGGGGGACCGUAAGGCCUCGCGCGAUUGGAGCGGCCGAUGUCAGAUUAGGUAGUUGGUGGGGUAAAGGCUCACCAAGCCAACGAUCUGUAGCUGGUCUGAGAGGACGACCAGCCACACUGGGACUGAGACACGGCCCAGACUCCUACGGGAGGCAGCAGUGGGGAAUUUUGGACAAUGGGCGCAAGCCUGAUCCAGCAAUGCCGCGUGCAGGAAGAAGGCCUUCGGGUUGUAAACUGCUUUUGUACGGAACGAAACGGCUCUGGUUAAUACCCGGGGCUAAUGACGGUACCGUAAGAAUAAGCACCGGCUAACUACGUG
Molecule: ribosomal RNA, 482 nt
Filed under: uncultured bacterium
Lineage: Bacteria
Description: partial 16S ribosomal RNA
Rfam family: Bacterial small subunit ribosomal RNA
Source: RNAcentral